Small nuclear RNA from Nannospalax galili (Upper Galilee mountains blind mole rat), 107 nucleotides. Lineage: Eukaryota; Metazoa; Chordata; Mammalia; Rodentia; Spalacidae. The record is from Ensembl.
GUGUUUGCUUUGGAAGCAUGUAUACUAAAAUUAGAACUAUAAAGAGAAGAUUAGCAUGGUCCCUGCACAAGGAUGAUACACAAAUUUGUAAAAUGUUCCAUAUAUUU